AUACAUACUCAUUUUCUCUUGUUUUAAACGAUUUUUAGCCAUAUCAAAACCAGACAACAUAUCAUAGCUAUGUGCAACUCUUUUUAAGUUACCUAAUCCCAGAAAAAUCAGAAAACAAAUACAAGAUGAUGCAUUUAUUUCACUUGGUAAAUAAGGAAUAAACAGGUGAAAGGGACUUAAACACAUUCUACUCAUUUCUCGGCCUCUGUGGUUGAAGAAGAAGAUACAGCAUUCAUCUAUAGUUGCAUAAGGCGGUGGCUACUGUUAACAGCAAAACUGAGACUUGAAUCCACUUCACUGCAGCACAGCACCCUUCAUAACAUAUUUCCGUCCUGCUUCUAGGUAUUGUUUUCCUUUAGUUUCUCAAUACAAAGUAUUCUAGACAUACACUCACUGGAUAUAGAAAAAUAAGAAUAAAGUUGUGUUUUCUUAAAGAGAUCAAUAAAGGUCACACCUAAAAAUUACCUUAUAAGAUUAUAUGUGGUCAGAUUUUAACUAAUAACAAAAUAUAGUAAUAGCUUGUCAUUAUUACCAUUAUUUUUCAACAGCCCUCUGUUCCAGGCAUUUUAGCUCAGUUAUCUCCAUUUCUCACAAGUAAGCAAGGUAGAUUUUAUUAGCUCCACUUUUCAAAUGAGGAAAGUGAAAUUCAGUGUGCCAUAGCACAUUGCCCAAGGUCACACAACUAGGAAGAGUAAUGGACAGAAUGGAUGUCCAAGGUCAUCAAUGCCAGCACCUGUGCUUUCUCUUGUGCUGCACAACCCUCUGUAGGUAACAAUGGAAGAACUCUAAUAAUCACUCAUGUAACUGAACUUAUCUUAGGCUUAUGUAAAAUUUUCCAUGAUCAUAAUGUGAGCUGGGUUCCAGGCCAAUCUCUGCCACUCUAAGAAAACAAGGUGACAGUGAUGAGGUGUUUGAAUGCCUUGUUAUUAAAGAAACAAGUUCUUGUUUACUUAACUGGAACCAGGAAUACAUCAAUUCUGGCCAGAGUGUUAGAAGAAAAGCACCCCUCUGACACGCAGAAUUAGGAUAAUCUCUACAUUAGAAGGGCAGAGAGGGGAGGAACAAACUGUAAGACAAAAAUAAAAUAUUUUGCAUUUGUUUCUUCGUGGAACGGGCAUCUUAGAAAGCUUUACAAUUGUAAUUAACUAUUGUGCAUUGUCUGGCUUUGAGAUGGCUUAAAAACAUUUAAAAGCAGGAGAAAAGCCCAUUGUGAGGGCUUAGAAAGUAAAAAAUUCUCCUGUGAUCCCUGACAGAAUGCGAACAUCAUUUCAGGGCUUAUUAUACUUUUGUCAGGGAAAG
This is a long non-coding RNA of Sapajus apella (tufted capuchin), 1299 nucleotides long. RefSeq lists it as uncharacterized. The record is from RefSeq and is a predicted model, not a curated record. NCBI's taxonomy places the organism in Eukaryota, Metazoa, Chordata, Mammalia, Primates, Cebidae. The transcript has 2 exons.